Molecule: long non-coding RNA, 1613 nt
Organism: Impatiens glandulifera
Lineage: Eukaryota; Viridiplantae; Streptophyta; Magnoliopsida; Ericales; Balsaminaceae
Exons: 3
Source: RefSeq, a predicted model, not a curated record
UAUCUCUCUCUAGGGCAUCUUUCUAUCAGCAAUAUGCCGUCAUUCACAAAGGUUGUAUGGGAGACUUUGCUAGAACCUGUAGUUCAAGAUUAUCACAAGUGUUUUUUCAAAUCCGAUGUUGUAGCCGGUAAUGAAGAGAGGGAGGAUGUUAGAUCGACGAAACAUAUAUACAUAUCACCUGCUCUGUAUGCGACUCCGCAGCCGACUCCGAUUCCGGAUUGUACCUCCGAUCCGUCAUCGCCUUGACCAUACAUCGUUAACCAUAAGAGACGCGGAGAAUCAAAUGAUGCGGUUAUGCUCGAAGAAUCGUUCGAUCAGGAAUUUCUAGGGCUAAUCAGUUGAGAGCAUAUGCGAAUUCAUUUUUGUCUCGAUAUGAACCUCUGGCUCUGUUUCUUGCUUUUCCUUUCUCCCUUGUUGUUGGUUGGUUCCUUCGAUCUGUGGGUCCUUCUGUUCACGAGAAAGGGAUAAAGACCACUGUUUUAGGGUUCAUAAUGUGUUCCAUCAAAUUUGUACCUGGCUUGAAGAAUUACAUCGAUGCUGAGAAAAAGAAGGUGGAUCAUUGUAGAACUGCUUUCUUUUUUAAUUGCUUAGAAAGUUUAAAAGGAAUAUAUUUCAUUGCUGGAUUUACUGCCCUAUUUGGAAAUGAAUUUGAUUUGUUUAUUUUUGCUUAGACAAUAGUCUCAAAUUAAAAUCGAAUACACAAAUCUUUAUUAUAAAAUUGAGAUAAAUGAAGGAAAAAAUAACAGCCCUAACUAAUGAUUGAAAGGAUGGGAAUCUUGGGAUACAUUCUUCUGUCCUUGAGCCAAAAAAAAAAGUACCAAUUAUCCCAGUCGAACUGUUUUAGAAAAAAAUGUGUCAGGCUCAAGCAUUCUACUAAAGAGUGUAUAACUACUUGGGGCAACCGUAUUCAUGAUAGUGGUCUUGGCAAUUAAAUGCUGUUGACGUUCUAGUCUCUUGUGGCCGGAUACCAUUUAAGAGGUUGUGCAUGUAAGAUAAUAUAUAAAUAUGUACAUAUUAUAUAUAUACCUAUAGGCUAUAGCCUGUAGGAAUGAAUAAAUAAUUAAAUCCUUGUAGUAAAAAUAAAAUACAAUUAUUGCAGAUACCUGAUACAUGGAGUGCUAUAUUUGGCAGUUGACUUUGUAAUAGAGAAACUUAAGCUGAUAAUAUUUGCAUCUAGAAAAAUACUUCAGAAAGCCUAACUCUGAUACUUAUCUCAUGGAUUUUUUGUUGCUGCAAAAAACUCUUGGUGGAUUUUCUAUGUGUUCUUUAGUGAUGGUCCUUAUUGGAGUAUGUAUUUGCUUGGUUUAAACUUGCACAUCCUACCUUCUGUUAUCCACUUUUCCAUUGAUCAUGCAAUGAAUGACCAAGAUCUUAUCUCAAUUUUCUGUUUUUCCAUGAGAACUUAGAUCAUUUAACUUUCUUGAACUCAAAGCCCAUACUGUCAUUACUUAGUAAUCACUGUAUAAUUAUUGUGAUGAUUUACCUAAGUAAAGACCUUCUCUUAUCCACUGAGAGUAUUGUCUUCUUCUUCUUUAGUUUCUAAUUAUUCUUUGACUUAUAGAAUAUCCGGAGCACUAAAAUACUCAGAUACUUUAUUAAUUUCUAUUAAUCUU